GUUAAACGGGGAAGGGUCUUGGAAAAUGGGAAAAUUUGCUUCAAAAAAAGGAAGGGGAAUUUCCUGGGGAAGGGGGAAAUGGGCUAAAAAUGUGAGGAAACACCGGGGGAAAGCCCCUUUCUCUGGUGUGUCUGACACUGAUAUGAGAAAAAGUGGGGGGAAAAAACGAGAAUAUAUCCCGUGGUUCCCCACCCCAUAAAAUAAGAGUGCUAUGUGUUGGGGGGUUUCCCCCCCUUAGCGCUGCAUCUAACGCAUUACACUCUCCGCGGGGGGAAGACCGUCGCGAGACUGAAACUCAAAGGACUUGACCGCCCCCCCCACAAGCGGUGGAUGUUGUUUUUUUAUUCGAAGCGCCACGAAGAAUCUUACCUCUUGUUGUCAUCCUCUGACAAUACUAGAGAUAGGGCUCUCCCUUCGGGGGACAGAGAGACGGGUGGUGUGUGUGUGUCCUCCUCUCGUGUCGUGAGAUUUUGUUUUAUCCCCCACAACGAGCGCACCCUUUGAUCUUUGCCCCCACUAUUCUGUUGCAGCCCUCCUUUGGUGACCGCCGGCGAAACAGCGGAGGAUGGUGGGUGAUGACGUCUUAUCCUCCUGCUCCUGAAUUACGUGCGCUACACACUUGCUUUGGAUGAAGAAAA
Molecule: ribosomal RNA, 638 nt
Filed under: uncultured bacterium
Lineage: Bacteria
Description: partial 16S ribosomal RNA
Rfam family: Bacterial small subunit ribosomal RNA
Source: RNAcentral